RNAcentral lists this long non-coding RNA (3020 nucleotides) under Sus scrofa (pig). RNAcentral's name for it is "lncRNA (ENSSSCG00000063529.1)". The record is from RNAcentral. Lineage: Eukaryota; Metazoa; Chordata; Mammalia; Artiodactyla; Suidae.
GGCUGGCGGGGUGCAAAGCCAGGCUUCUCCCGCUUGCAUCUUAAGGGCGGGUCUGGCCCAGCGCCUCCCGAGGCCGCCCGCCCAGAGACUGGUCCUCCGGUAUUACCAUUUCUGUGUCUGGGAGGUUUCUCUUCUUUCCUGUGUCUGUUCGUUUCCGGAUUCCAUUUUAAAGUUUACAAUAAAUGUUUUGGGGUUGGCUCGACCCCCACCGCACUUCUCUUUGGCAAGUCCGUUCCCUGGGCGCCCUCCGAGGUCCAGCGGAGGGCUCACCCAGCGAGAGUGAUUUCGCGGCGGGAAGAAGUUCGCCGAGAGGACAGACAGACCACGCAGCUGGUACGUUAGGAAUGCAAGAAGUGAAGGAGCACCCAACAGCAACACUUUGUACACGGAUGUGCCUGCUUUUGUUGAUACUUUCUUACUGUAAAGCUCUCCAUAAACAGUGAAAAUGUUUGGUAAACUUAUUGCAAUUUAAAAUUGGUGAGUUCCUUUAUUAAAUUAAUUACUAUUGGAGAUAUUCAUCACAUUGGGGUUAGAGGCUGUGUACACACCCAUCAGUGUGGGGGGAAAUGGUUGAGUUUGGUCAGACAGAUGCUGAGGUUGAACAGUUGUAUUCUGCUAGCUGGUUCACUAAAUCCAGCCUCUUUCUGAGGCUAAUUUUCUGUGUGUAUACCAGGUCCCAUACAUUCUUUUUCUGGAAAUUGGCGAUGGGGAUUUUACUGCAAAGCUGAGCUUAUUUUGGUUAAUACAUAUGAACAAGCCAAUCCUAUUUUGGAAAAUCAGUCAUAGUUUUUUCUGGUAAAGAUUAUUUUCCUGUUGAUUAAUUCACUAAUCUGGUAAUUUUGAACAUUAUGACAUUUCAUUUGAAAUAUACCCCUUAAAUAGCCUUAAUUGAUGUGAAGGUCAUGCUUUUAAAUCACAAGGAUAUGCAUGUGUGUGCAUGUUCACACACACAAUGGGAUGUGUUCCAAAUGAUGGUGAAGCUUGCUGGGAGCCAGGCAGGCUCUGAAUCUUGGGAAAAGGUGAUCCAGCUCCCGUGUGCUGGAAUUGUGGCACCAGGCAGGUAUGCUGCUAAUUCUGGAGUGCUCUAAGCAGAGCCCCACAUGAAAAAAGCUAAAGCAAUAAUAUGUAAUCUCUUUAGAGUGUAUAAAGGUCCACUUUUAAUUGUGAAAAAAUAGCUAGAUUUAGUGUUGGAAAUGUAGCUUCCAGAUGCAGGCUCUUGGGAAGACCUCUCCCCAGCUCCCAAGUGCCCUGCCCAAAGCCGAGUUCCACUGUACCCAGUGACCAAGGCCCCCACCCAGCUGGGCCUGACUGGGCUGCAGCAGAGGCUGCUGGAGAGAUGAGGUCCCCUUUCCACGCAGAGAAGUGGAGACCUGUCACAUUCGGUGGAGGGGGCAAAGCCAUCAUACUGCUGCUUGGACUGUUACUUUGAAAUGCAGAGAUACUGAUCAAAGAGGCCACGGGCAAUGUCUUCUCUUCAUGUUGAUGCCACCUGAAGAGAAAGAAUCACGCAUGGUCAAUCUGCUUGGUUCUUAUCCACAGACCUCUUCAGAUACUGGUCUUUAUUCGGGCUCUGGAUUCAGCCAGCCUGAGGUAUGGCCCAGCUAGUCCCCCUUCUGGUCCUUACAGCCUGGCCCCUCCUGCCCUCAAACCACCAGCCCACUGGCCAUCAAGUAGAAAAUGGAAGUGGCAGCAAAAGUGACUUUUAAAAUACUUUCCCCUACUGACCUAGAUCAAAUCAAUAAGGCAUUGCCUCAUUUCCUGCUUCCUGAGCAGGGCUUACCCCCACUCCUGGAGCAGAUAUUUUGGGGCAGCUGUGAGGCUGAAUUCCAGAGUGCCCCAGAGGAGGCAGCCAGGCCAGUGUGUGCCCAGCAGAUGGGCACACGGUGGGCUCCUGCUGAAGUCUGCUGGGUGGGGACCGCCAGGACGGAGCAAGCAGCAGCGCAGAUAGAAGACACCAGACCUUUUGUAUCCUUGUUUUCUGAGGCCCCAUCCUACAGGAUUUGUACAGCUUAACAUGUUAGAUGCCUUAUGAGUUUCUAAAAAAAAAUUUUUUUUGGCCUCCCUGCUGCACAUGGAGUUCUGGGGACAGGGAUCCUUAACCCACUGGGCCUGGCCGGGGAUUGAACCUACGUCCCAGUGCUCCCAAGAUGCCGCCAAUCCUGUUGUGCCACAGCAGGAACAACGAGUCUUUCAAAUUUGCAAGCAAAACCAGUGACCUCUCAUGUUUCAGACUUCCCUUGGGUUAGAACAGAAGGCAGAACAGGGUGAGGCAGCAGGGAGCUUCUAGGGUGCACAGACAGCCACUUCUCCCCAUCAAACAUAUAUUUGACCAAGAAGCUAGGUGGGAUUUUCUUUUGCUUCUUUUUAGAGCUGCAUCUGCCGCAUAGGAGAGGGGUUGAAUCGGAGCUGGAGCUGCAGCUGCUGGCCUACACCACAGCUCGUGGCAAUGAUGGAUCCUUAACCCACCAACUGAGGCCAGAGAUUGAACCCACAACCUCAUAGAUACCAGUAGGGUUCCUUUCCGCUGAACCACAAUGGGAACUCCUUAGAUGGGUUUUUUAAAGAUGUGUUUCUACUUCCAUGAAUAUUGUGAAGUCCACUUUAUAGAGGCUGAUAUAAUGAUGUGGGAUACCAGGGUUUUAUUUUUUGAAGUUUCCUAGAGAAAAUAUAAUCUCAAAUACCCUUACACUCAAGUUGUUCCAAAGACCAGUCCUCAGGGAAAGGAGUGGAGAAGCAGGAAGCUGGGAACCUCCUCUUAGUUGGGAUGAACUUCCUCUUGGUGGUGCCAGUCCUGGAAGGGUGUCCAGUGCGAGCACGUGUUGUUCAAGCUUAUCCUACUUUUUGACAGUUUAAGUUAUUUAGAAUUGAUUCUUUAUGUUCUUUGGGAAAUAAUGCCAAUCCUUGGAGCUUUCUUAUCCUACUUAUCAGAAUAACAAUAAACUCUUGGCCUGGGGGAGGCCAGACCAAGAGUUACUGUCAUGAUGAAACAUCAAAAUUAAACCAAGCACAUUUUAGCGCUU